RNAcentral lists this ribosomal RNA (324 nucleotides) under uncultured bacterium. RNAcentral describes it as "bacterial SSU rRNA". It matches the Rfam family "Bacterial small subunit ribosomal RNA", at positions 30 to 354 of the family's 1533-position model. The record is from RNAcentral.
AUUGAACGCUGGCGGCAGGCCUAACACAUGCAAGUCGAGCGGAUGAGUGGAGCUUGCUCCAUGAUUCAGCGGCGGACGGGUGAGUAAUGCCUAGGAAUCUGCCUGGUAGUGGGGGAUAACGUUCGGAAACGGACGCUAAUACCGCAUACGUCCUACGGGAGAAAGCAGGGGACCUUCGGGCCUUGCGCUAAUAGAUGAGCCUAGGUCGGAUUAGCUAGUUGGUGAGGUAAUGGCUCACCAAGGCGACGAUCCGUAACUGGUCUGAGAGGAUGAUCAGUCACACUGGAACUGAGACACGGUCCAGACUCCUACGGGAGGCAGCAG